CAGCAGCCGCGGUAAUACAGAGGGUGCGAGCGUUAAUCGGAUUUACUGGGCGUAAAGCGUGCGUAGGCGGCUUCUUAAGUCGGAUGUGAAAUCCCUGAGCUUAACUUAGGAAUUGCAUUCGAUACUGGGAAGCUAGAGUAUGGGAGAGGAUGGUAGAAUUCCAGGUGUAGCGGUGAAAUGCGUAGAGAUCUGGAAGAACACCAGUGGCGAAGGCGGCUCACUGGCUCAUUCUAGACGCUGAGGUGCGAAAGCGUGGGGAGCAAACAGGAUUAGAUACCCCUGUAGUCCAUGUCUCUUAUAC
RNAcentral lists this ribosomal RNA (301 nucleotides) under uncultured bacterium. RNAcentral describes it as "partial 16S ribosomal RNA". It matches the Rfam family "Bacterial small subunit ribosomal RNA", at positions 509 to 807 of the family's 1533-position model. The record is from RNAcentral.